GGAAAGUUGCAAAGAACUUUGAAGAGAGAGUUCAAGAGUGCGUGAAACCACUGGAAUGGAAACAGACAGAGUUGACGAAACUCGUCGAUAUUCAGCUGAGCCUUCGGGCACGGUGUACUUGUCGGCGGUAUGCGCUGAGUCCGCUGUUGGUGUGCGUUGAGCGUCGCGGUGUUGCCCACUUGUGGUGUCUUGCCGCGGCGGGAGGCGUAUCGUCGGUAGCGCGAUUCGGUGUAGGCGUUGAUCACCUGUCUGACCCGUCUUGAAACACGGACCAAGGAGUCUACCGCAUGCGCGAGUCAUUGGGUUGUAAACCAGAGGCGCAAUGAAAGUAAAGGUCGGCGUUCGCUCGGCUGAUAUGGGAUGCGUGUGCUUGUCUGCGCCGCACCAUAGCCCCGUCUCGACGGCUUGCCGUGGGGCGGAGGUAGAGCGUAUGUGGUAGGACCCGAAAGAUGGUGAACUAUACGUGAGCAGGGCGAAGCCGGAGGAAACUCCGGUGGAGGUCCGUAACGAUUCUGACGUGCAAAUCGAUCGUCUGACUUGCG
This 542-nucleotide ribosomal RNA is filed under the name Teratorhabditis synpapillata. RNAcentral describes it as "partial large subunit ribosomal RNA". It matches the Rfam family "Eukaryotic large subunit ribosomal RNA", at positions 358 to 915 of the family's 3401-position model. Lineage: Eukaryota; Metazoa; Nematoda; Chromadorea; Rhabditida; Rhabditidae. The record is from RNAcentral.